UCCUACGGGAGGCAGCAGUGGGGAAUUUUGGACAAUGGGGGCGACCCUGAUCCAGCCAUUCCGCGUGAGUGAAGAAGGCCUUCGGGUUGUAAAACUCUUUCAGCAGGAACGAAACGGUGAGCUCUAACAUAGCUUACUAAUGACGGUACCUGAAGAAGAAGCCCCGGCUAACUACGUGCCAGCAGCCGCGGUAAUACGAAGGGGGCUAGCGUUGUUCGGAUUUACUGGGCGUAAAGCGCACGUAGGCGGGUCGUUAAGUCAGGGGUGAAAUCCCGGAGCUCAACUCCGGAACUGCCUUUGAUACUGGCGACCUUGAGGCUGGAAGAGGUUAGUGGAAUUCCCAGUGUAGAGGUGAAAUUCGUAGAUAUUGGGAAGAACACCAGUGGCGAAGGCGGCUAACUGGUCCAGAUCUGACGCUGAGGUGCGAAAGCGUGGGGAGCAAACAGGAUUAGAUACCCCGGUAGUCCAAGCCG
This 473-nucleotide ribosomal RNA is filed under the name uncultured bacterium. Its description in RNAcentral is "bacterial SSU rRNA". It matches the Rfam family "Bacterial small subunit ribosomal RNA", at positions 337 to 802 of the family's 1533-position model. The record is from RNAcentral.